CAAUAGCGUAUAUUAACGUUGUUGCAGUUAAAAAGCUCGUAGUUGGAUUUCUGGAGGGAGCGUCGGCCCGUAUUUACGAGUGCGUGACGUCUCUGUCCAUCCUUGAGGGAAGGCACGGCAUUGAUUUGUUGUGUCGGAUCGCAUCAUUUACUGUGAAAAAAUUAGAGUGUUCAAAGCAGGCUUUCGCUUGAAUACAUUAGCAUGGAAUAAUAAGAUAGGACUUUGGUGCUAUUUUGUUGGUUGAGCCUAAAGUAAUGAUUAAUAGGGAUAGUUGGGGGCACCUGUAUUGCGUUGUCAGAGGUGAAAUUCUUGGAUUUACGCAAGACAAACAGCUGCGAAAGCGUCUGCCAAGGAUGUUUUCAUUA
This 365-nucleotide ribosomal RNA is filed under the name uncultured eukaryote. RNAcentral's name for it is "partial 18S ribosomal RNA". It matches the Rfam family "Eukaryotic small subunit ribosomal RNA", at positions 592 to 975 of the family's 1831-position model. The record is from RNAcentral.